ACAACCCGCUGAAGUCCAGUUCCAUGGUGUGGGAGAUUUGUUUUUUCGCUCCUUGCAAUAAAUCUUGCUACUGCUCUCUCUUUGGUUCCACACUGAUUUUAUGAGCUGUCACACUCACCACAAAGGUCUGCAGCUUCAUUCCUGAACCCAGCAAGACCACGAGCCCACAGGGAGAAACGAACAAUUCCAGACGCACCGCCUUAACAGCUGUAACGCUGCGAAGGUCUGUAGCUUCACUUCUGAGCCAGCGAGACCACGAACCACCAGGAGGGAAAAAACUCCGAACGCUUCCGAACAUCAGAAGGAACAAACGCCAGACGCGCCAUCUUAAGAGCUGUAACACUCACCACGAGGGUCCGUGGCUUCAUUCUUGAAGUCAGACCAAGAACCCACCAAUUCCAGGCACAAUCUCAUCUCUAUUUCUUUUUUAAAAUAAUAAAAUCCAAUAACAUUUUUUGUAAAGUUACUUUCUGCAGAUGGACAGAGGCCCACCCCAGAGUGUAGGAACACAAGCUAUACUUCAGCCCCACCAACCCUGGUCGUGCACCUAUGUGCAGUGCACAAACUGCCCAACUGUGCACAAUGACCCUGAUUAGAGGAGUGUUAGAUUGGAAAUCGGGUCCCACGGCAAUGGUCCAAGCAAAAGUUGCUAUGGAUCUGAACUAGAGCAGUGGAAGGUGGGAAGGAAAGGGGUAAACAUGCUUGAUAGUAGUUGGGAGACAAGCUCAGCUGAACUUGAUUAACUGGAUGCCCUGGUGAAAGCGAAGAAGGAGGCAAAUGAUAUUUAAUUCAGUACUUAAGGCCACGGGCACGGCAGAACGCAGCAUCAGGCAAUAUUUAUGCAAGAGAACUCACAAUCUAAUGAAAGGCAGAUGCAGCUUUCUGGGCUCGGGAGAGAGAGUUUGCAGGGAACUACUCAAGCCAAACCAUGAAAUCGAACCCCCUUUUUCCAGAUGAAUCCCAUCUACAACUUGGGAAAUGAUGUUUCAUCACCAGAUACCAAGAAAUCCUACCUUUUGGCAACAAGUUUUUCUCCGGCUUCACUUGAAAUGUGUGUUUUCCUUCUCUGCUGACUAGGCUAGCACCUUAUCUCAUAGAAUGAAACUGUCUCCCAGGCACCCACCCUUAAUUAGAAGGGGCUACCCCUAUUUCACCUGAGGAGAAAGGAAAUUUGUAAGAGAAAUUUUGCCUGCCUCAA
Molecule: long non-coding RNA, 1198 nt
Filed under: Homo sapiens (human)
Lineage: Eukaryota; Metazoa; Chordata; Mammalia; Primates; Hominidae
Description: HSALNT0377098
Source: RNAcentral